UACGUAGGGUGCGCGCGUUGUCCGGAAUUAUUGGGCGUAAAGGGCUCGUAGGCGGUUUGUCGCGUCGGGAGUGAAAUCAUCUGGCUUAACUGGGUGCUUGCUUUCGAUACGGGCAGACUAGAGGUAUGCAGGGGAGAACGGAAUUCCUGGUGUAGCGGUGAAAUGCGCAGAUAUCAGGAGGAACACCGGUGGCGAAGGCGGUUCUCUGGGCAUGACCUGACGCUGAGGAGCGAAAGUGUGGGGAGCGAACAGG
Molecule: ribosomal RNA, 253 nt
Filed under: uncultured bacterium
Lineage: Bacteria
Description: partial 16S ribosomal RNA
Rfam family: Bacterial small subunit ribosomal RNA
Source: RNAcentral